Long non-coding RNA from Oreochromis niloticus (Nile tilapia), 638 nucleotides. RefSeq lists it as uncharacterized. The transcript has 3 exons. The record is from RefSeq and is a predicted model, not a curated record. Lineage: Eukaryota; Metazoa; Chordata; Actinopteri; Cichliformes; Cichlidae.
AACUAAUGAACAUAAAGCUCUGGUGAACUAUAAACAUUUAUAGGCAUCCUGUAAAAGUCAGAGGGAGAAGGGGUCAUUUGAAAAGCAAUGUGAGGAUAAUUGCCUGCUAACCAGCCGCUGUUGUUCUACUGGGUGACUGCAUUUUCUAAGGAGUGGGGGUCCCUCGAGGCAAUAGCAGGGGUUAAUUUACAAAAGGUUGGCAGGUGUGUUAACCUGCAUAUGCUUUUCUUUCAUAUUAUGGGGUUUCAAAUUUAUCUUAACAACAGUCAUUUUGCCUUUUCACAAUAGGACAUGGUUACUAAUAAAAUGAACAAUGGCUCUCUCAGUGUGAGAAAGCAUGAAUGACACCAGGACCCUGAAACCGAGGCAGCCAAACAGAAUUCAUCCAGAAAGUGCAACUCAGCACACAAAAGUUAAUGCCAGUGCACACUACAAGACUUUUGCACUGAUUUUCCACUCCUAAGCAAACCUGAUUCUGCACCUGCACAGCUAAGCCUUAUUACUCCAGCUGCACGCAUUCUCCACUCUGUUAAAUCAAUCAGAUCUUGCCAUGACCUGUGAAACUGCUGCCGGGAGCUGUCAUUUUAGCGUCAGAUCAAUGCAGCCCUCAUCCGCCAACAUUCAGCUCCAGUUUCAGA